GAAUGGAAGUGUCUACAAUUGGGUUUUUGUGGAAUAUCAAUUCACGUUCUUCGCAGGUUUAAAUUUAAAAAAAAAAUAGAACACAGAAAAUGUGGCAAGCGCGAUUGAACAGUGAAUCGCUGCUGGUGCCUAUCUUUUAUAUCCAAUCGAAGUCAGUGGCUGUUCAGGCGUGAGCCAUUUAGCAGUGCAGCAAUAAGCCGUACAGAGCAGAAAAAGGAGGAACACAAGCACCUACCCAGAGAAGGACUCCGCUAAGCUGCUUUGCAUAUAGGUCAAGGAGCUGGUUAAAUACAAUCUUUUUGAGUGGUCAUUGGCUUCAAUUCUCUGGACAAAAAAGUUAAAGUUAAAGUUGGAUAACAAUUAAUCUCAAGUUUUUGUAUAUUUUUUGAAAUGAAUAGAUUAUACGAGCUUUGAAGCAAAUGCAAAAGAUAUAAGUCUAAGAGUUUUUACUUUGUUGUGUUUGAGACUAUUUAAAGUCUUGUCAAAGGAUUACAAUCUAUACAUACAAGAUGUUUAAUUGUUUCCCAAUGGACAUACCCGCCCAUAUAUAUAGCUGAUGCGUAACUUCCUGACAAAAGAGAUUUGUCUUCAAGCCAGGCCAAAGUAGGAAUAAGUACAACCAAGAGAGCAAUAGCAUAGAUAGUCGGUAAUAGAUGACUAUGGAAGAAUCUUGGCGGGACAAUGCUUAAUGCAAUACAUUAAAAUCUGUAAAAGAAAUUAACAAAAUGUUAAAUUCAUUCGUCCAAGGACAGCGGUCAGGAGGAGACAGUGACUUCCGUUUAAAUUUAAUGUUGCUUCCGCAUUCUCCUUCUGUUUCGGAUACAAUGCGGCAUGCAAGAAUAUAUAGCGAGAAAUUUCAUUUAACGAAUGAAUGCAUGGAAAUGGAUAUGGUUGUCGGAAUGCAUCCCUCGCAUGUCGAAAAUCUAAAAAGUAUCUUAUAACUGUACUCUACUGCUAUGCGCUGUGUUAAUAUCCAGAAAGCCAUUUGAAACUUAUUUGUAUUUAUUUAAAACUGUUCUAGGGUAAUUAAAUAGGUUCAGAUGCUUUUCUUCUUUCAAAAUGGGUGUUUAGAGGCAGAAAAUCCCAUGUACUUAGAAACACUCCUUCGCACAGAUUCUUUUGAUGCUUUCAGAGGGGACUAUACGAGUAAUGUAAUGUGUGUCUGAAAUUCUUUUUGAAUUAUUUAUGAAGCCAGCCAGCCGUCGUUGGAAAAUAAAUGCUGAAUUAAGCUCCAACUCAACCAAACCCUACAGGGGAAUCAUCAAAUGAUAAUAUGGUAUAAUUUGCUCGGGGAACUUGUGUGUGAUUUUCAUCGCAUUGAGCCUCACUUAUUUAGGCAAUUAGCCAUAACCAUUGAGUGAAUUAAUGGUCGGCAUGAGGACUGUGGGGCAGAAUCAUCAAACAUGCAUUCGUCAUGUGCAAAAUUGGGAUAAUACAUUCUUCCCUAUGGGGCAGUCAACAGAUUUGUUGCUCCUCUGGGAGUCUAACGUUUUGUAAGCACACGCGUACGCAUUUAAUGCGAUUUAAAUGU
This is a long non-coding RNA of Drosophila miranda, 1531 nucleotides long. RefSeq lists it as uncharacterized. Lineage: Eukaryota; Metazoa; Arthropoda; Insecta; Diptera; Drosophilidae. The record is from RefSeq and is a predicted model, not a curated record. The transcript is spliced from 3 exons.